UUGAACUGGGGAAAAUUCGAGUGGUGCCGUCUAGCGACCGUCUCUUGAAACUAAUCCACAUUUUGCAGCGCCGCGUAGAUAGGUUUCGAGUAUUACUGAGAAGUCACACGUCGAGUGUCAUACUGAAGACGGCAUGUUAACGCAUCAUACUCAGCGGGAUUACAUACACCAAGAACCCUUUCAUGAUGCUCUCUCACGAGAGGUGGGAAAAGUGCACUUUUAAACCUUAUAGAAACGGAUUUGACUAGAUUUGACCUGUACCUGGGCGAGGUGUAACAGCGACGUGCCGGUAUUAUUUGUGGGCAAAGACCGCGAAGGCAGAACCAAGCGCCGUUUGGAAGUCGGAUCAUUUGCAUGUCUACGGUUUCAUCCAAGGUUCUUUCUCGAGUUCCAAUAACCGACCCUGAUCCGGCCCCGCACCGCCCAACGCAUCUCGGAACCACAUCGGCACUAUCACUUAGACCGAAAUUCCACGUAGUCCUUUCGGAGCUGAUAUCCCCUUUAGGGGGUUUUGCUCUAGGCUACUUCUGCCGGCGAAAGAAUCGUUAAUUAUAAUGAUCGGAGCUCCCACGGGGAAUGUCGUCGCCAGCAUAGAAACAUCAAGGCCCGAGGACAUUUCCCGGGGAGGAGGAGGAUCCUCUUGGAACGGAAUUCCGAGAGGAUCCUCCGUACCGCAGACUUUAGGAAUGCACUAGAUGGACC
Long non-coding RNA from Orussus abietinus, 702 nucleotides. RefSeq lists it as uncharacterized. The record is from RefSeq and is a predicted model, not a curated record. The transcript has 3 exons. Lineage: Eukaryota; Metazoa; Arthropoda; Insecta; Hymenoptera; Orussidae.